AGAAAGAAAAAGAAAGAAAGAUAAAAAAAAGAUUGAAAACCCCGAUUUAUCUUCUAUUUGAAAAAAACAUCUGCAGAACAAAAUGAGCCUCUUGAUGCCGGAAUUGUCAUCAAUGAUGACUUUGACAAAAUGAGCAAUACAUAAUUUGCUAGCUCCCUUGCGAAGCUGAAACAGAUUGUCAAAUAAAACACUGGAGGAGAUGCAUAUGGGCUCCCACUAGAUAUUCUGAUUGCCUUCAACACCAAUGAGAUUAAAUGACAUUGUGAGCUUUUUGGGACCGAGGACAUUCUUCGAGUUUGGACAGAGGAUGACAUCCGAAGGCCUUACUUCUGACUGGAACCUUCAGAUGUGAGUAUGCUAUAAAUAACUAAUGAUGAUGUCAGCUUAGGGGCACUUAGCAAUGUGUAAGAUCAUGCAGCUCCUUCAGCAAUAGUUCUGUAUGUAAUCUCAGCCUUUUAGCAUAUUACCUCUAAAAGAACAUAACUUCCUCUGGAAGCUUCAUUUCCAUUUAACUAACCUUGUCCUUUUUUCAGAUGUACUCCUCUUGACAUGUGUAAAGGAAAUACCCCAAUGAAAACUUGUUCAGAAUCAUUAAUUACUUUUGAUCAGACUCCUUCCUCCAUACCUUGGUUAAUAGUGUAGAUUGAAAAAAAUAACAGCCAGAUCUGUUAUCCCAGCAAUUAUUGAGAAAUGAAAGUGACAAUUUGCUUACUUGCCUGAAAGAUCAAACAGUAAACCCCUAAUUUCAGUCACUUGGCACUGGAUUUUAUAUAUUGAAACUGGCAGGCACUUUAUGCAAUGUCCAAGCAGAAAUGACCUCAGGCUUUCAUGGACUACAGCACAAUAUUCUCAGAAUCACUCUGCCUACUGACUGGCUGGCUUUUAGAAGACUCCUUUUUUUUUUCUUUUUUUUGAGUCUGUGUUAACCAUACAUACAUGCAAUCAGAAAUAAAGUUUGAAACAAAAAAGUGA
Long non-coding RNA from Neopelma chrysocephalum (saffron-crested tyrant-manakin), 972 nucleotides. RefSeq lists it as uncharacterized. The record is from RefSeq and is a predicted model, not a curated record. The transcript is spliced from 2 exons. Lineage: Eukaryota; Metazoa; Chordata; Aves; Passeriformes; Pipridae.